AUUGAACGCUGGCGGCAUGCCUUACACAUGCAAGUCGAACGGCAGCACGGACUUCGGUCUGGUGGCGAGUGGCGAACGGGUGAGUAACAUAUCGGAACAUACCCUAGAGUGGGGAUAACGUAGCGAAAGUUACGCUAAUACCGCAUACGAUCUAAGGAUGAAAGUGGGGGAUCUUCGGACCUCAUGCUCAUGGAGUGGCCGAUAUCUGAUUAGCUAGUUGGUGAGGUAAAGGCUCACCAAGGCGACGAUCAGUAGCUGGUUUGAGAGAACGACCAGCCACACUGGAACUGAGACACGGUCCAGACUCCUACGGGAGGCAGCAGUGGGGAAUUUUGGACAAUGGGGGGCAACCCUGAUCCAGCAAUGCCGCGUGAGUGAAGAAGGCC
This 386-nucleotide ribosomal RNA is filed under the name uncultured bacterium. Its description in RNAcentral is "bacterial SSU rRNA". It matches the Rfam family "Bacterial small subunit ribosomal RNA", at positions 30 to 416 of the family's 1533-position model. The record is from RNAcentral.